GGCCCCAUCGUCUAGCUCGGUCUAGGACGUCAGAUUCUCGAUCUGAAGACACCGGUUCAAAUCCGGUUGGGGCUACCA
RNAcentral lists this transfer RNA (78 nucleotides) under Candidatus Gorgyraea atricola. RNAcentral's name for it is "tRNA-Glu". It matches the Rfam family "tRNA". From Rfam's summary of the family: Transfer RNA (tRNA) molecules are approximately 80 nucleotides in length. Their secondary structure includes four short double-helical elements and three loops (D, anti-codon, and T loops). Further hydrogen bonds mediate the characteristic L-shaped molecular structure. tRNAs have two regions of fundamental functional importance: the anti-codon, which is responsible for specific mRNA codon recognition, and the 3' end, to which the tRNAs corresponding amino acid is attached (by aminoacyl-tRNA synthetases). tRNAs cope with the degeneracy of the genetic code in two manners: having more than one tRNA (with a specific anti-codon) for a particular amino acid; and 'wobble' base-pairing, i.e. permitting non-standard base-pairing at the 3rd anti-codon position. Lineage: Bacteria; Pseudomonadati; Candidatus Omnitrophota. The record is from RNAcentral.